GGCUCAGAUUGAACGCUGGCGGCAUGCCUUACACAUGCAAGUCGAACGGUAACGCGGGGCAACCUGGCGACGAGUGGCGAACGGGUGAGUAAUAUAUCGGAACGUGCCCAACUGUGGGGGAUAACGUAGAGAAAUUUACGCUAAUACCGCAUACGAUCUAAGGAUGAAAGCGGGGGAUCGCAAGACCUCGCGCAGUUGGAGCGGCUGAUAUCAGAUUAGCUUGUUGGUGAGGUAAAAGCUCACCAAGGCGACGAUCUGUAGCUGGUUUGAGAGAACGACCAGCCACACUGGGACUGAGACACGGCCCAGACUCCUACGGGAGGCAGCAGUGGGGAAUUUUGGACAAUGGGCGAAAGCCUGAUCCAGCAAUGCCGCGUGCAGGAAGAAGGCCUUCGGGUUGUAAACUGCUUUUGUACGGAACGAAACGGUCUGCCCUAAUACGGCGGGCUAAUGACGGUACCGUAAGAAUAAGCACCGGCUAACUACGUGCCAGCAGCCGCGGUAAUACGUAGGGUGCGAGCGUUAAUCGGAAUUACUGGGCGUAAAGCGUGCGCAGGCGGUUAUGUAAGACAGUUGUGAAAUCCCCGGGCUCAACCUGGGAAUUGCAUCUGUGACUGCAUAGCUAGAGUACGG
RNAcentral lists this ribosomal RNA (633 nucleotides) under uncultured Polaromonas sp. Its description in RNAcentral is "bacterial SSU rRNA". It matches the Rfam family "Bacterial small subunit ribosomal RNA", at positions 21 to 651 of the family's 1533-position model. Lineage: Bacteria; Pseudomonadati; Pseudomonadota; Betaproteobacteria; Burkholderiales; Comamonadaceae. The record is from RNAcentral.